This 296-nucleotide long non-coding RNA is filed under the name Medicago truncatula (barrel medic). RNAcentral describes it as "long non-coding RNA (MTRU_LNC001398)". Lineage: Eukaryota; Viridiplantae; Streptophyta; Magnoliopsida; Fabales; Fabaceae. The record is from RNAcentral.
UUGAAGUUCAGUUGAUUCAUUUUCCGGUGGUGGUGGAGGAGGAUUUGGUGAGGCGGCGCGGCAACGAAGACGACGGAGGGAAGUGGAGGAAGAAGAGAGCGGUUGAAAUGAACGAUUAGAAGAGGUUGAGAGAGAAAGUGAAGAAGAUGGAGAAGGAGAAGGAGAAGGAGAAGGAGAAGGAGAGAGAGUGGUGAAAGAGGUGAAGAGUCGUUGUGGAAGAUUUACAAGUUCCAUUUCGAGGCAUUUCAGGUUGAAACACCAAAAUGAAGGGAUGACACAGAUUCUCUUUGGUUUAU